RNAcentral lists this ribosomal RNA (484 nucleotides) under uncultured bacterium. RNAcentral describes it as "partial 16S ribosomal RNA". It matches the Rfam family "Bacterial small subunit ribosomal RNA", at positions 28 to 507 of the family's 1533-position model. The record is from RNAcentral.
AUUGAACGCUGGCGGCAUGCUUUACACAUGCAAGUCGAACGGCAGCGCGGGCUUCGGCCUGGCGGCGAGUGGCGGACGGGUGAGUAAUUCAUCGGAACGUGCCCAGCUGUGGGGGAUAGCUCGGCGAAAGCGGGAUUAAUACCGCAUUCGACCUGAGGGCGUAAGCGUGGGAUCUUCGGACCUCGCGCCCUUGCAGGGGCCGAUGGCGGAUUAGCUAGUUGGUGGGGUAAAGGCCUACCAAGGCGACGAUCUGUAGCUGGUCUGAGAGGACGACCAGCCACACUGGAACUGAGACACGGCCCAGACUCCUACGGGAGGCAGCAGUGGGGAAUUUUGGGCAAUGGGCGAAAGCCUGAUCCAGCAAUGCCGCGUGUGUGAUGAAGGCCUUCGGGUUGUAAAGCACUUUUGGCGGGAACGAAAAGGACUGUGCCAAUACCACGGUUCGAUGACGGUACCCGCAGAAUAAGCACCGGCUAACUACGUG